This 923-nucleotide ribosomal RNA is filed under the name Leptodontidium beauverioides. Its description in RNAcentral is "LSU rRNA". It matches the Rfam family "Eukaryotic large subunit ribosomal RNA", at positions 38 to 967 of the family's 3401-position model. The record is from RNAcentral. Lineage: Eukaryota; Fungi; Ascomycota; Leotiomycetes; Helotiales; Leptodontidiaceae.
GCAUAUCAAUAAGCGGAGGAAAAGAAACCAACAGGGAUUACCUCAGUAACGGCGAGUGAAGCGGUAACAGCUCAAAUUUGAAAUCUGGGUCUUUCAGGCUCCGAGUUGUAAUUUGUAGAAGAUGCUUCGGGUGUGGCUCCGGUCUAAGUUCCUUGGAACAGGACGUCAUAGAGGGUGAGAAUCCCGUAUGUGACUGGUUGCCUUCGCCCAUGUGAAGCUCUUUCGACGAGUCGAGUUGUUUGGGAAUGCAGCUCAAAAUGGGUGGUAAAUUUCAUCUAAAGCUAAAUAUUGGCCAGAGACCGAUAGCGCACAAGUAGAGUGAUCGAAAGAUGAAAAGCACUUUGGAAAGAGAGUUAAACAGUACGUGAAAUUGUUGAAAGGGAAGCGCUUGCAACCAGACUUGCACGCUGCCGAUCAUCCGGGGUUCUCCCCGGUGCACUCGGUUGCGUUCAGGCCAGCAUCGGUUUGGGUGGUUGGAUAAAGGCCUUGGGAAUGUAGCUUCUUUCGGGGAGUGUUAUAGCCCUCGGUGCAAUGCAGCCUACCCGGACCGAGGACCGCGCUUCGGCUAGGAUGCUGGCGUAAUGGUUGUAAGCGACCCGUCUUGAAACACGGACCAAGGGAGUCUAACAUCUAUGCGAGUGUUUGGGUGUCAAACCCAUACGCGUAAUGAAAGUGAACGGAGGUGAGAACCCUUAAGGGUGCAUCAUCGACCCGAUCCUGAUGUCUUCGGAUGGAUUUGAAGUAAGAGCAUAGCUGUUGGGGACCCGAAAGAUGGUGAUCUAUACUUGAAUAGGGGUGAAGCCAGAGGAAACUCUGGUGGAGGCUCGCAGCGGUUCUGACGUGCAAAUCGAAUCGUCAAAUUUGAAGUAUAGGGGCGAAAAGACUAAAUCGAAACCAUCUAGUAGCUGGGUUCCUGCCGAAGU